Molecule: small nuclear RNA, 104 nt
Organism: Molossus molossus (Pallas's mastiff bat)
Lineage: Eukaryota; Metazoa; Chordata; Mammalia; Chiroptera; Molossidae
Source: RefSeq, a predicted model, not a curated record
GUGCUGGUUUCCAAGGCACAUAUUCUACCAUGGGAAGGAUACAGAGAUUAGCACGGCCCCUGCACAAGGAUGACAUGCAAAUUCCUGAAGCGGUCCACAUUUAA